UUAUUAAGAAUUUGUCCAUGUUCUCGGAUAAUUUAUAAACUACUUUAAAACACUUCAUAAUAGAGCGAGAUAGAUCACUCGAAUUAUUUAUGUGGUUCAGCAGGAUGUAACAGCUACACAGUAAGAAAAGACAGCUCUCUCUCUCUAUAAUAUAUUUGUUUUAAUAUCGGGCUAUUCCAUUAUUCCACUUGAGUUUCAAGUCAUCUGCAUAUGCAAAGCUAUCUGUAUGACUGUGAUCACAAACUGCAAUGUGACCAUUCAGUUCUAACGUUUUGGUUCACCUUAAAGACUUUCACGUCUCAUUGGCUUUUCAACAAGCCACUUGAAUAUAUCACCUGAUUUUAAUAUAAGACAAAUACCUUGCUACAUGUUUAAUUAUUAGAAAUGCAGAAAAUUGAAUACAAUUAACUUAAUUACUGAGGACAGAAUGAUUCAAUGGAAUUUUGUGCAUAGAUUCUCUGUAAGGAUGUGCAAUUGUUUAAGAAAGAACAUUUUAUGCUAACAAUAGAGACUAGCUUUUCACUCUGAGGGCUAAUGUAAUUCUACUGUCUUCAUAAUAUUUUUUCCUAUUAAAUGUAAGAGAGAGAUGGUUUGGGACACUGCAAAGCAUAUACGAUACUAACAAGAUCUCGUAUAGAGGGCAAGCCAGUGAGUUUAGAUCAAGAGUAGACUUUCCCCUUCCUAAGAAAAGCAAGACACCCCCUUGCUCCACCCUGAAGCAGACUGAUCAUUCUGACACAGCAUAGCCAGUUAAAAUAAUGAACAGAGAUCAAGGCUGUUUACGUUUCGAGAACAACAACAAACUUGAGACAACCAAAGGGUUUAAGUCAGAGUCCCACCAAAAAUGCACCUACCUUAAACAGCGUAGGUUUGGCUCCCAACUUUCUGAGCAGUUCUAGGAUGAGUUUGAGUGGAUCUGGGGCUCAAUAUGAAGCAAAACCCAUAGGCUCUUAGGAAGGUGAGUUAUUGUCUUAAGUCAAAUUAGACUAACCGUAGCUGCUUACAAAGAAAAAUAUAGUGGAGCUGAACCAAAACCAAACUGGACCCCAUUGCACCAGUGGGGCUCUGGUGUCAAGGGGCAAUUUGUAGCCAAGGAAGAACAGGAAGUGUUCAGGCCAGCGCUCUCCUCUUGGAGUGGGAGUGGAGUUCCACCAGCAGAAGGCAAUUUAAAGUGAAUUUCUUAGAAUCACAGAAUA
This 1196-nucleotide long non-coding RNA is filed under the name Chrysemys picta bellii (western painted turtle). RNAcentral's name for it is "lncRNA (ENSCPBG00000012963.1)". Lineage: Eukaryota; Metazoa; Chordata; Testudines; Emydidae. The record is from RNAcentral.